ACGAACGCUGGCGGCGCGCCUAACCCAUGCCAGUCGAACGAGCGAGAGAGAGCUUGCUUUCUUGAGCGAGUGGCGAACGGGUGAGUAACGCGUGAGGAACCUGCCUCAAAGAGGGGGACAACAGUUGGAAACGACUGCUAAUACCGCAUAAGCCCACGGUGCCGCAUGGCACAGAGGGAAAAGGAGCAAUCCGCUUUGAGAUGGCCUCGCGUCCGAUUAGCUAGUUGGUGAGGUAACGGCCCACCAAGGCGACGAUCGGUAGCCGGACUGAGAGGUUGAACGGCCACAUUGGGACUGAGACACGGCCCAGACUCCUACGGGAGGCAGCAGUGGGGAAUAUUGCACAAUGGGGGAAACCCUGAUGCAGCGACGCCGCGUGGAGGAAGAAGGUCUUCGGAUUGUAAACUCCUGUUGUUGGGGAAGAUAAUGACGGUACCCAACAAGGAAGUGACGGCUAACUACGUG
This 465-nucleotide ribosomal RNA is filed under the name uncultured bacterium. RNAcentral's name for it is "partial 16S ribosomal RNA". It matches the Rfam family "Bacterial small subunit ribosomal RNA", at positions 29 to 507 of the family's 1533-position model. The record is from RNAcentral.